GAUGAACGCUGGCGGCGUGCCUAACACAUGCAAGUCGAGCGAACGGACGAGGCGCUUGCGUCUCUGACGUUAGCGGCGGGCGGGUGAGUCACACGUGUAUAACCUACCUAUAAUAGUGGGAUCACUUCGGGAAACCGGAUCUAAUACCGGAUAAGCUUUUGCUCCGCAGGGUUCAAAAGAGAAAGACGGUGUUGGUGUCACUACUAGAUGCAUCUGCGCUGCAUUAGCUAGUUGGUAAGGUAACGGCCUACCAAGGCGACGAUGCGUAGACGAGCGGAUAGAGUGAUCGCCGACAUUGGAGCGGAAACACGGACCAUACUCCUAAGGGAGGCAGCAGUAGCGAAUGGUACGCAAUAGUCGAGAGCCUUACGGAACGACGCCACGUGUGAGAUGAAGGUCUUCGGAUCGUGAAGCUGUCUUAUGGGGGAAGAACAGAUGUGUAAGUUGACGAGGCGAUCGUGACGGUAACGAAUCAAAAAGCAACGGCUAACUACGUG
This 497-nucleotide ribosomal RNA is filed under the name uncultured bacterium. RNAcentral's name for it is "partial 16S ribosomal RNA". It matches the Rfam family "Bacterial small subunit ribosomal RNA", at positions 28 to 507 of the family's 1533-position model. The record is from RNAcentral.